This 12763-nucleotide long non-coding RNA is filed under the name Ricinus communis (castor bean). RNAcentral describes it as "long non-coding RNA (RCOM_LNC000238)". The record is from RNAcentral. Lineage: Eukaryota; Viridiplantae; Streptophyta; Magnoliopsida; Malpighiales; Euphorbiaceae.
GGCCGCGCGAACGCAGGCCCCCACUACCACAAAUUAUGACGUAGGCUCUCCCAGCUUUGGGGAGACCUUAGGCCAGCACCCCUCCGAAGUGCAAUGGAGGUCACUAACCUAGGCCAUGAGUCUUCUUGAUCGCCCAUUGACCCCGUCCAGGUAAGUAUGUUUGUCCGUUGCUUUAGGCCUUUUAUUUAUAAGCUAACUCUUGCUCUCUUCGUUCUUACCUAGUCGAUGUGGGUUACAAGUUCAACUUCCACAUAGCAAAAGGCAUCCUUGAUAGAAUCAUUUGAAUAACCAAAUAUUUGUUUGGAAACGAGUUGUUUAUGCAAUUAACGCCUCACAAAUCUGAAUUUGCAGACCAAAAUGUUCAGAAAGUAGGAAAUCAUUUUGCAAUCUGUUGUUUCCUAAAAGCAGAUUACUUAUGUCGGGGAGUAUCAAUUAUUGCAGACAGAAAAUGGGGGACUCCACUAUGAGUGUUGUGGCGUAAGGCAGUGUAAAUAUUCAUUAUGUUAUAAUAUCAGAAUCUAAAUUUGGCUACAGGAUUGCUUAUUCUGAACUUCAAUUAUUAGUUGAAUGAAACCAAAAUAAAAAAGAAAAGAUCAAAUACUAUUCCAUUCUGAGUGUGUCAAGCUUCAGCUUUUGCAUAAUGGAGAAUGAUGCACUUCCACUAUCAAGAUAAGCGAAAAAUAUUAUAAAUUUGCACUCCUGUCACAUCUUUUCCUCAAGCAACUGCUACUGCUUUCAGGCAUCAGAGUAAUAUUGGGUUCUCAAUUAUUGCGAUAGUUAUGUUUCUCUUAAAUCGGUCCUUGGUUAAUGUUUUCAAAAAAAAAAAAAAGCUAAGCUUCUUUUGCUGCUUUUUUAGUAAUUUGAUAGUAUCUUUGAUGGUUUGAUAUAUUCAAUCAUUAUUCUUGAAUAGAUGAUUUUUCUCUGUUUCUGUUUUGAACUUUGCCAUUUCUUUCUUAUUUGAAGAUUCUUUCAACUAGCCCAUUUAGCUAGAUUGGUCUUCUUGCAUCAUCUCAGUGAUAAGUGCAAAACUGUGUGAUCCAUUUAUUUGUUGGGUGUAAUGUUUCUGAACUGAUAGAUCAUAAAGGAUUGCAAUUCUUUUCUACAUAACAUGCAAAUUAGUUGCACAUAUUUGUUCUCUGGCAGGUUAGCUAGAAAAGAUGGAGGAAAAGUGUGCAAUCAAGAAAGAUAUUACUGAAGUAAUUUAUUUUCUUCAUAAUCACUUGUACUUUUCACAUAAACAACAGUCUUUAAGAAAAACAGCAAUCUUGCUUAUGGCCAUUAUCUUUCACUUAUGGGGUCUUCUGCAGUUAAUAGGCAAUACACCUAUGGUAUAUCUCAACAAUAUAUUGGAAGGUUGCGUAGCUCGAAUAGCUGCCAAGCUUGAACACAUGGAACCUUGCUUCAGUGUUAAAGACAGGUCAACCCAACUUGUUUCAUUCAAAAUCUUAGUUUUAUCUUGUACAUGUUCCUCUUGUCAAAUUGCUGGUUUUCACCUUUUUCAUCUGUGACAUGCAGGAUUGCAUAUAGUAUGAUCAAAGAUGCAGAAGAAAAGGGCUUGAUUACACCAGGGAAGGUUUGUAAUAAUACUUCGUGAUUUUUGUUUUUUUAGAAGAAAAGAUAAGAAAAGAGAAAUGUGUUAUUUUAUUCACGGAUGAUGGAAAAUUGCUACAUUUGUCACAUUGAUAUAUCUACUUAUUGGCCAUCUCUACUAUGAAACUGCUGCUGUUUCUGGUUCUGUUGGUUCUAAAAGAGCGUCCUCAUUGAGCUUACAAGUGGUAACACUGGGAUUUCAAUGGCAUCCAUUGGGGCAGCAAAAGGUUACAAGACUAUUCUCGUUAUGCGAGCUUCAAAGAGUAUUGAGAGAAGAAUAGUGCUAAGAGCUUUGGGAGCUGAGGUUUACCUAACAGAUCCAGACAAGGGUUUUCAAGGUGUUCUUGAUAAGGCCAAAGAGAUUCUGAAUAGUACACCUAAUGGUUAUAUGCUUGAUCAAUUUGAAAAUCCUGUCAAUAUAAAGGUAAUGUUUUUAUCUAUAUUUGUGAUAUGUACUAGUGUUUGAAAGGAUUUAGAAGUAAAUAUUUGUUCUCAGGUUCAUUAUGAAACCACUGGCCUGGAGAUCUGGAAGGAUUCAGGAGGUAAAGUUGAUGUUUUGGUUGCUGGGAUUGGGACUGGCGGUACAGUAACUGGUGCAGGGACAUUCCUGAAGGAAAAGAACCCAGAUAUUAAGGUAUUCUUUGUUUUACUUGUGCUUGUGCACAAAAAUCUUGCUGUUCUCCAGGUUUAAUUAUUUUAUGAAGGUAUAACUUUCAUUUUCUUGCAUUAGGUUUAUGGUGUAGAACCAGCAGAAAGUGCAGUCCUGAAUGGAGGAAAACCUGGUAAGUUAGUUCAUGCUUGCACUUUCUGUUUGUCCUUUGACAAAUUCCUGGUUUAGUCAUAAAAUUGAUGGCACUCAGUCCUUUGAAGGUGAGAUUUUAAAGUAAAGAUUCCUGAGCAUAUAUCAGACUUGUAUACUUCUUAAUUCUGCUGCAAAAUUGACUUGGAAAUUGGCAAGAUUCUCGUGAUUUUAUCAUCACUGAAAUGGAUACAUUGCCUUGUGUGCGUGUCAAAGGUAAACAUCUAAUUGAUGGGCUAGGUGCUGGAAUUGUACCUCCUCUUCUGGAUGUUGACAAGCUUGAUCAAGUUAUUCAAGUAAGUGUAACAGACUCUAAAUUCUUCUAUUCUUUCUGCUAUGAUUGCCAAGUCAUAUACAGUGAGAGAGACCUGCAACACUAUCAGAAAUUGUAAAUAUUGUUUUGUGUCUUUAAUAAUUCGUGUCUUCUACCGCACGGACAACCAGAUUUUAGAUUGUAAUGGAGACAUCAACUGCUUGCUGGUUUAUGAUUUUGUUUAGAAUUAUAUUACUCGAGUUUCCUGGUGUUGUGUUACAUUUUAGGUAUCAAGCGAGGAAGCUAUUGAAACUGCCAAGCAACUUGCUUCAGAAGAAGGAUUAUUGGUAUGAUUACAGCUACUUAAGAUUUAUCUUCAUUCAAUGUUCUCUUUACUUAUUUAUUUAUUUUUCUUUUUGUACUUCAAAAUUAUUAAAUCUUUCUUUCCUCCACAGGUGGGAAUAUCAUCUGGGGCUGUAACAGCUGCUGCUUUAAAGUUGGCAAAGAGACCGGAAAAUGCUGGGAAGCUCAUUGUAGUAAGUCUCAUUAGCACUACUACCAUACCUAACUUAUGAAUAUGGAGUGGUGGAUUCUGUAGCAGUAAGCCAUUUGACUUGUUUGCUGUUGUGGCAGGUGAUUUUCGCCAGUGCUGGGGAGCGUUAUCUGUCAACUAAGUUGUUCGAGUCGUUUAGGCAUGAGGCAGAAAACAUGACCUUUGAUUAGGAUAACUUUGAUUCCUGAAACGAACAGAGUAUGAUCAAGAACUAAUGUAGUAGCUGUAAGACCCUGAUUAGGUCUAGUUUCAGGAGGAUUUAUCUUUUCCAUUGUAUUGUUUGGAAGAUGCUUAUAUUAUAUGUAGGACAUUGUAGAUUUGGAAACUUAUCAUCAGGGAACACCUGUAUGUUUGGGACAGAUUGAAGAAAUAUCUGAAGUUGCUAUCCACUCAGCUCUGAUGUUCAUUGCAGUGUUACAUUAAAAAAGCUUUUUUUUACUUAGUUUCAAGAUGUUAAUUACUCUCAAUUUAUAAGAUUAAGAAAAAUCACAGUACAUUUAUCAAACCUAUUUAAAAAGAUUACUAAAGAACCUUAUUCGCUGGCCAAUCUACUGUCCAAUUUUAUUCUCUGAACAAACAGGGACUUUCCACCACUACCUCCAAAUAAGAUUAGGGCAAGCAUUAAGAAAAGAUGGCCGUAUAUAAAUAAACACAUUAAAUGGUAACUUUAGAUAUAAGGAAGCACCUAAAUUGUUUUCUUUUACUGGGGCCAAUCAACCAAAAACAGAUUCUUUUUAUUGAUUAAAAACAUCCAAAAAUAUGAAAGAUGAUUGUUUGUCUGUUAGUGGCAGCAGUUGAGUUGACUUAUACCAGAUAAAAAGAAAAAGCUGAAAGUGGUGAAACAAAUUUAGCAAUUAGUGCACUUGCAUUAUCUGUAAAGAGAAAGCUGCCAAGGAGUUCAUGGUUAGGAUUCUUGCUCUUUAUGCUAACUUAUCUUCCUUCUUUUGGCUUAGUUGCCUGCAAGUAAAGUUGGGUUGCCACUCAAGUCAUUACUGUUUGACGUGUUUGUGGCGAUUGGGUUCUUGAUAAUUUAAUUCCCUUAUUAUAUCCGCUCUUGCAAAGUUGACAUUUCUUGGUAAUUUUUCUGUUUUCCGGUGAUUUUGGUAUUUCUUGCAAAAUCGCUUAAAGGGUUUAUAGUCUUGUACGUCAUUUGUGUCUCGGAGCUGCAGUUUUGGAGCUCUUUUAUUAGCACCUUUAGCAAAAUUGGCCUUCUUGCAUCAUUCAUUAGCUUAUCUACUGAAGGAACACAUAAUUCAUCUACUGCUUAGAUUUCUUAAAAAAUAACUUAGUUCUUAGAGCUAGGAAUCUGCCUAUAUAUGGAAACCAACCAUGCUUGCAGAAUGUUCUCUAAUUGCUAUCCAUAUAUGAUUUCUUUUUUCUUUUUCUUUUCCAAAAUGUUCACUUCUUUCCAUCUCGCAGGAUUUAUAGAAAAGAAUGGAGGAUAAGUGUGCAAUCAAGAAGGAUGUUACUGAAGUACUUUUCUCUAUUCGUGAUUUACCUAUAGUCUCCACUUUAAAUCUUGUGCUAAAAAACAACAAUCUUGCUUAUACUGUGUAUUUUCCCUUUUUAUGGCCUUUUGUAGUUAAUAGGCAAUACCCCUAUGGUGUAUCUCAACAAUAUUUUGGAAGGUUGUGAUGUCCGAAUUGCUGCAAAGCUUGAGAAUAUGGAACCUUGUUACAGUGUUAAAGAUAGGUAGAUAACUUGUGUCAUUCAGAGGUUUAUUGUAUCUAAGUACAUGUUCCUCUUGUCAGUUUGCUAAUUUUCAUCUAGAAUUAUAUAGUUGGUUUUCAUCUAUGAUAUGUAGGAUUGCAUAUAGUAUGAUCAAAGAUGCAGAAGAGAAGGGCUUGAUUACACCCGGGAAGGUUUGUAAUGAACGUUCAUUUCUACUGAUUCGUUUUUAUACUGGUACGAAAUUCAUUGGUCAAAUUAGAAAAGAAUAAAAAGGAACAUGAAACAUCCGGAGUUACAUGAAUAACAGAGUACAGAUUCUUAAUUUAAGUAAGUAGUUGAAUAUGCCAUGUGAAUAUUCCAGAGCUUUUUUGUCAUAUGCGGGCAAUUUCCAGAUUGAUGCUUAUGGGUUAUUUCUACUAAAAUUUGCUGUUGUUUUGGCUCCUUUGGUUUAAAUGUGGCUGAAGACUGUCCUUGUUGAGGUUACCAGUGGUAAUACUGGGAUUGCAAUGGCAUCCAUUGCUGCAGCAAAAGGUUACAAGAUUAUCAUAGUCAUGCCAGCUUUUAAGAGUCUCGAGAGAAGGAUUGUGCUACGAGCUUUUGGAGCUGAGUUGCACCUAACAGAUCCAAACAAGGGCUAUGAUGAGAUUCUUAAGAAGGCUGAGGAGAUAGUGAAAAAUACACCAAAUGGUUAUAUGCUUCAUCAAUUUGAGAAUCCUGCCAAUCCAAAGGUAUUUUAUCAUCAAUUUUUUGUAAUAUUCAUCAUUUGUCAAAAAGACUUAGGACUCAUACUGCUAUGAUAUAUGUAGAUUCAUUAUGAAACCACCGGCCCAGAGAUUUGGAAAGACUCAGGAGGUAAAGUUGACGCCUUGGUUGCUGGGAUAGGGACUGGUGGUACAGUAACUGGUGCAGGAAAAUUCCUGAAGGAGAAAAAUCCAGACAUUAAGGUAUUCUUUAUACUCAUGCACAUAAUUAAAGAGCCUGAUCCUCUUUAGUUUUAAUUAAUAUAUCACGGUAAAACUUUCUUUCGUCCUAUGUAGGUUUAUGGUGUAGAACCAGCAGAAAGUGCAGUCUUGAAUGGAGGAAAACCUGGUAAGUUAUGAACCACUUCAUAUUUGCUCUUUCUUCUUUCUAAACGAUAGCUGCAUCCUUGCAUACAUUUUCUGGUUGUGGAGCUUGGGUCCAAUUGCAUGAUGCAAGUGUUGCAGGUCAGGUAUUCAUCACUUUACAAGAAUAUGAGAAAUACUUUUAGGAGUGUCAAUUAGUUUUUUUUUCCCCUACUGAAUGGUCUCUUGUGAUGACAAAAUUACUAAGUAUUGAGUGGCAAUGCAUUUUAUAGACACUAUAUAUAGAGAAGAUGAAAAACCUUCAAAAUGAAGCAUUUUUUGGUUACAUCAGCAAAGAGUUACUUCCAGCAAACCCUUGUUUCAAACUGAUGCAUUUUCUCCUGCAUAGAUUGAAUUAUUGUUUCAUUAACAGAUAAUGUAUAAAAUCUCUAGUUUGGAGAAGUCUUAGACAAAAUGAAGACUCUGGAGCAUCGACCAGACUUAUAUGCUUGCUAGUUCUGUUACUAGAAUGAUGUUCACUUUGUCAAUUUGAAGAUUGGCAACAUCCUCAUGACUCUUAUCACCUCCAAAAUCUUUGUGUGUGUGUUGAAGGUCAUCAUAGGAUUGAAGGACUAGGUGCUGGGGUUGUACCUCCUGUUCUGGAUGUUGGCAUGCUAGAUGAAGUUGUUCAAGUAAGUCAAAAACCCUGCUAUAGUUUGCUUUUAACUGACUUUUUAAAUUAACUGUUAGUAACUUUGUAUUUGUACAACGAGAGAGGCCUAUGGCAUGAUCAGAAUUUGUAGGUAAGGCUCGUCUUCUGAAUCAAUGUCCUCAAUAGAUGGACAAGCAAAAUUGUGGGUCGUAAUGCAGAUUCUUAGUGUAAGAAGGUCGAUAGUUGAUGACUGUUAAUAAUACUUGACAUUUAAUGUAUUGCUGUAACAUUGUAAUUAGGUAUCAAGUGAGGAAGCUAUUGAAACUGCUAAGUUGCUUGCUUUGAAANNNNNNNNNNNNNNNNNNNNNNNNNNNNNNNNNNNNNNNNNNNNNNNNNNNNNNNNNNNNNNNNNNNNNNNNNNNNNNNNNNNNNNNNNNNNNNNNNNNNNNNNNNNNNNNNNNNNNNNNNNNNNNNNNNNNNNNNNNNNNNNNNNNNNNNNNNNNNNNNNNNNNNNNNNNNNNNNNNNNNNNNNNNNNNNNNNNNNNNNNNNNNNNNNNNNNNNNNNNNNNNNNNNNNNNNNNNNNNNNNNNNNNNNNNNNNNNNNNNNNNNNNNNNNNNNNNNNNNNNNNNNNNNNNNNNNNNNNNNNNNNNNNNNNNNNNNNNNNNNNNNNNNNNNNNNNNNNNNNNNNNNNNNNNNNNNNNNNNNNNNNNNNNNNNNNNNNNNNNNNNNNNNNNNNNNNNNNNNNNNUGCAGUGCUGGGGAGCGUUAUCUGUCCACUAAACUGUUUGAAUCCCUUAGGCACGAGGCACAGAAUAUGCCCUUUCAUUAACAUCAUGUUGGUUCCUUCCUGAAAUGUAAUGGUACAAGCAGUACCAUACUUAGAUUAAUUCUUUGUUUUCUAGCACAAGCCCUGAAUGGGAUGUGUUAUUAUUGCUGAAAUAUGUAUUUGUAAGUAAUUAUGGACUUAUCCAGGUUAGGGCUCCAUCAUCCAAUAUGCAAUGAGAAGUGAACGGGUUGUCGAAGCCCUUCAAAAUAAAUUACUGAUUUUCUUAAACUAAUUUGUAAAAAAAGUGAAACCAGGUCGAAUCCCAAGAGAACCAAUGUGAAUAACGGGUUGUCGAAGCCCUUCAAAAUAAAUUACUGAUUUUCUUAAACUAAUUUGUAAAAAAAGUGAAACCAGGUCGAAUCCCAAGAGAACCAAUGUGAAUAGCUUCUCAAAGUAAAUUAAAAGGGGGGUUUUUGAAUGUUUGAAUCAAAAUUAUAAAUAGGCAAAAAAUAAUGAAGGCUGAAUAUUUAAAGUAAAUAAAAAUCAAUCUUAACAAAUUUCCAAUUCAAGAGUGUUGAUUCCAUCCAAUUGUAAUCAUGAUCAUAGGCUAAAAUAUCAAUUCUUCUAUUCAAGUACUUAGUCUACUUAUUCAAAAAAGCCGCAACAAGUGUAAUUCUCCUAAUAUAGUUGACUUGAACCCAACAUCCAAAUCAAAACUUACCAUUAGUCAACUGGGCACGAUAGCGUUCCAUAUCAACUUAAUAAUAGCAUUAAGAAUAAUGAGAAUGACUAAACCAACAUUAAUUUAAUUGAGAUAACUGCAAUUGAAAUAAUCUUGUUCUUUUAUUUUCCUAGAGCCUAUCAUGCAAGCUAUGUAAUUCGAAUAAGCCGUAAUCACACACACAUGAGCCAGCUCCUUGCUACUUGUGUCAAUCGUUCAUGACAAUUACGGAUCACAAACUCAAAGUUUAGCAAUAGAAAAAUCAAUAUCAAAGUUGAGUCGUCAGUUCAAUCAAUAUCAAUAAUUCAUAAAUAAUAAGAACAAGAAAUAAAGAAUACUUGAAUUAAAGAAGAAUUUUAUUAAGCACAAAGCCUCACAAAAUCACAAUUGGAAUUUAUUCACUCUUGAAUUAGAAACUAAAAACUUAGUCACUCAUGGUGGAGUAAGAAUUCACAAGAAUUGUAGAGAGUAGAAGAAGAAAUAAGAAUAUGAAUAUCAAUUUGAAUCUGAAUCUGAAUCUGAAUCUGAAUGCCUCUGCUCAAAGUAUCUAGCCGUCCUUAUAUAGGAAGUAAAAUCCUAAACCUUAAUGGAAUCCUUAUCAAAAAAAAAUAAGCUUCUUAUUUAAUCUUAUCCCUACAAGAAAGGAUAAGAUUAAAAGUGAUCUAAAUAAAUUAAAACCCUAAAUACAUAGAAGAAAGUUCUAUUAAUCCAACACUUUCAAAAAUAGAGGAGAUUAACUAGGGAUAAGUCCACCACAAAUUAAUCUCUGAAAAUUUCGAAGCUCUCUUUCACAUCUUUUAGCAGCUCAUGGGAUGCAAGGCGUGGUCACGCCUUGUUGACAGUAGUCUUCUGCACAGAGUUCUGCACUUCCUCCAAAAGAUUUUGUUUUUGACAAAAUGAUGACUUAAAACAUGUCUUUAGGCUAGAUUUUGCUCCAUCCUUGAUAUUUCAUCACCUAAGUUAGAAUAAACAUAAUUUCCAUAAUUAAGUACAUUAUUCAACCAAAUCGCAAAGGAAUUAAACACAAUAAAUAUAACUAUUUUUGACCUAUGAAGAAGCCACACGGACAAUAAUAAUAAUAAAAUCCAUCCCUGCAAAUUAGUCUUAUCCAAUCUUUUAUUUUGUCACGGUUGACCAAAUAGUGAAAAAAUAAUCACAAUUUGGACAAGAAAUUAUCAAUCAAUGAUAUUUCUGACUUUAAUGUUCAUAUCCAGCACUGCUUCUCUGAUCUCUAUUAAUGUUCACUGCUUCUGUCUUUAGCCAACAAGAAAAAGAGAAUCUUGAUUCUUGACUAUGACACGGACAGCUGAAGUAAUAAGUCUUGGGACUACCUCCUUAAAUGGAUGGGACAUGCAAUUUAUAGAUUGUGGCUAUCUAAUGAAAUGGACAGCACAUGCAUUUACAGACAAAGCAACUAAUCUUGCAUGUGCAUAUAUUAUAUAUAGACAGAGUUUACAGAUUGCACACGCAAUAUAUACUUGUAGAUUUGCUUUAUAUCUGGUAAUAUUUAUAAUCUUUUACUGCUGCUAUUGUUGAGUUCAUUUCAGUCGACGUUGUAUUCUUGUCUUCUUCUUCUUCUUCUUCUUCUUCUUCUUUCUCACUUUCUCUCAGCUUCCUGCAAAUCCAGUCACAUUUUUCUGCUUGCAGACUGCCAAGAAAGAUAUGGAGAACAAGUGUGGAAUCAAGAAAGAUAUUACUGAAGUAUAUUUUAGUCAUCUUUUUCUAUAGUUUUUGACUUUGGAAUACCAAUAACUACUGCUUCUAAUAAUGUUCAUCUUCUUCUAUUUUCAUCUUGACUUGUGCAGUUAAUAGGAAAUACCCCUUUGGUAUAUCUGAAUAAGGUUGUGGACGGCUGUGUAGCUCGCAUUGCUGCAAAGCUUGAAAUGUUCGAACCAACCGCUAGUGUGAAAGACAGGCACUCUUUCUUUCCACCUGUUUGUGUUUAUUCUUUUCCUAUUAUGGAAAAUAAACAAGUCUUUAUUGCUGAACUGAUGUCAUACAUUUUCAUUUUUGCUUAUGCAGAAUUGCAUACAGCAUGAUCCGGGAUGCAGAAGAUAAGGGCUUAAUUACUCCAGGGAAGGUUAGUCAUGAGGCCUUGCUAUAUAUUCAUUCUUUUUUAAUAAAAUAUCAAAGUCAAAUGAAGGAAAUAUGGAUUUCUGAAAGGUGUUAAAAUGAAGGAGAGAUUAACAAUUGUUUUCCUUUUGUUCCUAUUGCUGUUUAAAAUAUGCUGCCUAAAGACCGUCCUAGUUGAACCCACGAGUGGCAACACCGGCAUUGGUUUGGCAGCAAUUGCUGCGGUGAAAGGUUACAAACUUAUACUCACCAUGCCCGCUUCAAUGAGUCUCGAAAGAAGAACUGUGCUACGAGCUCUUGGAGCUGAGGUUCGCCUUUCUGAUCCGGUCAGGUCCUUUCCAGGAGCACUUGAGAAGGCAGAGGAGAUACUAAAUAAAUUACCUGAUGGCUACAUGCUUCAGCAAUUUGAAAAUCCUGCGAAUCCAAAGGUAUAUCUUGCAUCCAUCUAGUACGUGGAUUUGUUGUAGAAGGACUAUAGAUCAUGUUUGUUGCUGAUUUUGUAGAUUCAUUACGAGACCACUGGCCCAGAAAUAUGGAGAGACACCAGUGGGAAAGUUGAUAUCUUGGUUUCAGGAAUUGGAACUGGUGGUACUGCAACUGGAGCUGGAAGAUUCCUCAAGGAGAAGAACAAAGACAUUAAGGUUUAUUCUGGAUGUCUUCUUCUGAGAGACUAUUAUGUCAAAUAUGUUAAAGGAUCUUUUUCUUUGUCUUUUUAAAUCUUAAUUGUGCUCCAACUGGAGUAUGAAUUGGUUUUGCUUUAAUUCCUUUAUGCAUAGGUGUAUGGUAUAGAACCAGAAGAAAGUGCAGUCCUGAAUGGAGAAAAACCUGGUGAGUAAUGAAUUCUUCUAAUUAUUGAAUCUUUUACCGGGCAGCUACAAUCUUGGAGGAAUAAAAGAAAUGUAUAUGUACCAUCAUUGAGGCUUUACUUAUUUUUAGUCUUUUCAUCUUUUAAAGAUGUCACGGAACCAGAAGGUUAAUGGAUGACACAUAUUAAUUGAUUUAUUGUUGCGUGCUCGUGUAUUUACUACUUCAUUCUAAUUCCCUAUGGUUAUCACUCUUUAUAACUAUUCACCGUGGAAAAGAAAAUUGCUUGAUAUACUUGUGACAGGCCCGCAUCUGAUCCAAGGACUUGGUGCUGGAAUCGUUCCUAAUGUUCUGGACGUGGAGUUGCUGGAUGAAGUUUUUAAAGUAAGUUUAAGAACCAUGGUAUCUGGGAUUUUCUCUGAAUGUUCGUUUAACAGUUAGGAACGAAUAAUGAAGCUACUACUAUAACUAUAAAGAACUGGCCUACCAUAUACAAACAUUUGUGUGCCUGAAAAAUGUCGCUUAAUAACUUUUGGUGUCUGUUAUUUUUGUUUAGAUCUCAGGUGAGGAAGCCAUUGAAACUACUAAGCUGCUUGCCCUGAAAGAAGGUUUGCUGGUAGGAAAUGGUUGAUUUCCCUGCUACUGUUGUUGCUUGUUCUCCUUUUCUUUUUGUGCACUUGUGACUAUCUUUUUUCUGCUUUUAUCUUUACAUAGGUGGGUAUAUCUUCUGGGGCUGCAGCAGCAGCUGCAAUUAGAUUGGCAAAGAGACCUGAAAAUGCAGGGAAACUCAUUGUUGUAAGCUUAUUGCCUUCUCCUGUUCAAUAUGCACACCCAACAAGUGACAUUUGUUUGUUGCAGCCAAAGUAAGUUAUAAUUCAAUCCAACACUCCCAUUUAAUCAGAGUAAUUUUUUUCGCUUUCCAUGCAGGCAGUCUUCCCAAGUUUUGGAGAGCGUUACUUAUCUUCCAAGCUUUUUGAUUCAAUCAGGCAAGAGGUGGAAAACAUGACUUACGAAUGACUUCUUCCAAGUUAUCGGUUAAUAGCAGCUUUUGAAAUUUUCAAAUGUUCUAAUUAUACGUAUGUACUUUUCUAUGAAUUGAAAAGUCAAUCAGAAAUAUCAGCAGAAAUCAUUAAAAUCAUUCGAUUCGGAUAAACAUAACCAGAAUAACUUUAAACAGAAGGUGAAUUUCAGACAAUCGAAACUGACGACUAAUUUGGUCAGAGUCAUAGGAUUCGGAUAAACAUAACCAAAAUAACUUUAAACAGACAGUGAAUUUCAGACAAUGUAAAUUGACGACUAAAUUGGUCAGGGGCCGCGCGAACGCUGGCCCCCACUGCCACAAAUUAUGACGUAGGCUCUCCCAACUUGGGGAGACCUUAGGCCAGCACCCCUCCUAAGUGCAAUGGAGGUCACAAACCUAGGCCAUGGACCUUAUUGAUCACCCAUCGACCCCGUCCAGGUAAGUAUGUUUGACAGUUGCUUUGGGCCUUGUAUUUGUAGAUUGGUUCUUGCUCUCUCUUUUCUUUCCUAGCCGAUGUGGGAUUGAAGUUCAAUUUCAACAUAGCAAAAGGCAUGCCAAAGCCAUCACUAAUAAGUUCAAAACGUUCAUUUCAUUUCUUUUUUUAUUGUUCAGUCCAAAACGUUCAAAUUUCAACAUAGCAAAAGUAUCGAGAAAUAUUGCACUCUUGUUUCAUUUGUUUAUCAGGCAGCUCUAAUUGCAGAAAGAGCAUGUAGAUAUUAUUGCUUAUUGGCUCAGCUGCCAAGUAUUUGGUCAUCUAUCAUCUAAUUUUGUAAUUCUUUUCUGUGGAAUGAGAGUUCGUGUUUCUUUUUCUAUCCAA